RNAcentral lists this long non-coding RNA (460 nucleotides) under Brassica rapa (field mustard). Its description in RNAcentral is "long non-coding RNA (BRAP_LNC001888)". Lineage: Eukaryota; Viridiplantae; Streptophyta; Magnoliopsida; Brassicales; Brassicaceae. The record is from RNAcentral.
UGAUUCAGUUCACACGCUAUUUAAAUUAUGUUACAAACUAAAAACAAAUCCAAAUAUACUUUAAGAUAUUCAAAAUACAAAAAGAAAUGGGUUGAUAAACCACGUCAAAUUAAACUAAUUCAUAAUUAAAUUUAAAUUAAAAAUUUAAAACUAGAAAUUUUGGUCGGCUCGUUUCAAAUAAAUUACAGAAAUAAAAAUAAAAGAUAUUAAUUAGAAUAUAAAUUUGAGUUUGCAUACUUUUACAAAUAAAAAAUAAUUUACUUUAAAAACAAAAACAAAAACAAAAGAAAAGAACUGAUGGCGGCACCUCGAAAAUUGUAGAGUAACUACGGUAGUUAGUAUAAUCCAUAAUAUAUUUUUUACAAAUUUGGACCAUAGGCAGUUUAUUGUUAAAUAAAGUGAAUUAAUUACAGCUAAAAAUAAAAUAUCGAAUAACAAAUCGAGGUGCGGUCUGCACGCC